CGGGUGAGUAACACGUGGGUAAUCAACCCUCGACACUGGGAUAGCCCGGGGAAACCCGGAUUAAUACCGGAUGGCCCUUUGGAUCUUCGGAUUUGACGGAAAAGGUAGCUUCGGCCUCCGGUCGAGGACGAGCCCGCGGCGGAUUAGCUUGUUGGUGAGGUAACGGCUCACCAAGGCGACGAUCCGUAGCUGGUCUGAGAGGACGAUCAGCCACACUGGGACUGAGACACGGCCCAGACUCCUACGGGAGGCAGCAGUGGGGAAUCUUGCGCUAAUGCGGGAAACCGUGACGCAGCGACGCCGCGUGAGGGAAGAAGGCCUUCGGGUUGUAAACCUCUUUCAGGAGGGACGAAGCCACUCGGGUUAACAGCCCAGAGGGUGACGGUACCUCCAGAAGAAGCCCCGGCUAACUACGUGCCAGCAGCCGCGGUAAUACGUAGGGGGCUAGCGUUGUCCGGAUUUAUUGGGCGUAAAGAGCGUGUAGGCGGCUAGAUAGGUCCGUUGUGAAAACUCGAGGCUCAACCUCGAGACGUCGAUGGAAACCAUCUGGCUAGAGUCCGGAAGAGGAGAGUGGAAUUCCUGGUGUAGCGGUGAAAUGCGCAGAUAUCAGAGAC
RNAcentral lists this ribosomal RNA (614 nucleotides) under uncultured bacterium. RNAcentral describes it as "bacterial SSU rRNA". It matches the Rfam family "Bacterial small subunit ribosomal RNA", at positions 103 to 704 of the family's 1533-position model. The record is from RNAcentral.